AAACUUUUAACCCGGGUUUUAAAUAUAUGUAUCGGCCGAUUUGUAUUAAGAAUUUAGGGAAAUAAUCUGAUUUUUGUUGAUACACUAUCUGUGAGGCGGAAGUAAAAAUGCUUUGGUACUAAUGCGGAACUGGGUAAAACAGCCUCUUCAAAUGUGAUGUUAAUUUCAUAUCAGUGAAAAUAGCCAUUUCAAAAAGGCAAAAACUUUACCAGUUGCAGGCUACCACUGACAGGUCUUCUACUUUUCUCACUUACCCAACUUUAAACAACUCCCGUCUUCUUCCUCUUCUUCAAACUCCUUCAAAUUUUUUCUGGUCUUCUUGGGAAUAUUUGAUGUUGAAUAAGAUUAACAAUUCAACAUUGAAUCUUCCAUUUGUUUUUCCUGAUCCUCAAGAUUUCAAGCUUGUGUGGUGGUUUUGA
RNAcentral lists this unclassified non-coding RNA (419 nucleotides) under Hevea brasiliensis (rubber tree). Lineage: Eukaryota; Viridiplantae; Streptophyta; Magnoliopsida; Malpighiales; Euphorbiaceae. The record is from RNAcentral.